Molecule: ribosomal RNA, 115 nt
Filed under: Chelonoidis abingdonii (Abingdon island giant tortoise)
Lineage: Eukaryota; Metazoa; Chordata; Testudines; Testudinidae
Source: RNAcentral
UGAUGUUGCCAUACCACCUGGAACUGCGAUUUCAUUUGAUUACAAAAGCAAAGCAUGGUUGGGCCUGGUCAUUACUGUAUGGGAGACUCCAUGGAACACCUAGGAACUGCAGAAA